ACUUUAUAGUAGGCUAUAAGUAUUUGACUAAAACUGCAUAAAUCAAAUCUUAAUCAUAGAUGUACCGAUUGUAAAUAAUUUUUUUUGCUGACGAAGUCUUUUCUAACUUUUGGGGUAAGACUACUAACUAAGUAGCCUACAUUGAAAUUAGUGCUAGUACAGUAGAAGUGGUCUUGGCGUCGGGUAAUCGAUAUGAAAACAAGUCUACAUUAUAAUUAGGCCUAGAUAUCUACCUUGUCCGACUUUAUUUCAAGCAUUUUAUUUAUACCCCUUAAGUUGUAGUAGUGACAGUUUAACUACAAUGUUCAUCAAUAGUGGUUUUGAUUUUUCACUUGGAUUGGUGGAAGAAGGUACCAUACAAUACUAUACUACUGUACUGUGUUAGAUUGUUCAGCGUAAAUUGGUUUCAAAGACCUUUCCAGUACGCCACGGUAUUCAGUAUAAUCUAAGGAAAUUAAAACAGAAGAAAAGUAUAGAAAAUAUUUCCAAUUAUCUAUCUUGAGAUCACAGAGAUUGAAUGCUGCAGGUCUUGUGUUUAGUGUAUAGACUAAUUGGUGGAUGUUAUUAACAUUAACCUUUUAGCAAAGUCUAGCUUGAUGAUGUUACUGACUUUGCAGUGUAGUGGAAGAUGUUAACCUAACUUUGGUAGACAACAAGCCUAACCCUGAAGUCAACGAUGUACAAUAUGUCAGUGUCACGGUUCCACUACCAAACGUAACGCGAAUAUAAACAAUACUUACGGGUACAUGUAUUUACUUUGAUUGAAAUGAGGUCAACUUAAAAAUUUGUGUAGAUGUGUUAU
Molecule: long non-coding RNA, 802 nt
Organism: Patella vulgata (common limpet)
Lineage: Eukaryota; Metazoa; Mollusca; Gastropoda; Patellidae
Exons: 4
Source: RefSeq, a predicted model, not a curated record